UCAUGGCUCAGGACGAACGCUGGCGGCGUGCUAAUACAUGCAAGUCGAGCGGACAGAUGGGAGCUUGCUCCCUGAAGUCAGCGGCGGACGGGUGAGUAACACGUGGGCAACCUGCCUGUAAGACUGGGAUAACUUCGGGAAACCGGAGCUAAUACCGGAUAAUGCAUUUCCCCUCAUGGGGAUAUGCUGAAAGAUGGUUUCGGCUAUCACUUACAGAUGGGCCCGCGGCGCAUUAGCUAGUUGGUGAGGUAACGGCUCACCAAGGCCACGAUGCGUAGCCGACCUGAGAGGGUGAUCGGCCACACUGGGACUGAGACACGGCCCAGACUCCUACGGGAGGCAGCAGUAGGGAAUCUUCCGCAAUGGACGAAAGUCUGACGGAGCAACGCCGCGUGAGUGAUGAAGGUUUUCGGAUCGUAAAACUCUGUUGUCAGGGAAGAACAAGUGCCGGAGUAACUGCCGGCACCUUGACGGUACCUGACCAGAAAGCCACGGCUAACUACGUGCCAGCAGCCGCGGUAAUACGUAGGUGGCAAGCGUUGUCCGGAAUUAUUGGGCGUAAAGCGCGCGCAGGCGGUCUCUUAAGUCUGAUGUGAAAGCCCACGGCUCAACCGUGGAGGGUCAUUGGAAACUGGGGGACUUGAGUGCAGAAGAGGAAAGUGGAAUUCCACGUGUAGCGGUGAAAUGCGUAGAGAUGUGGAGGAACACCAGUGGCGAAGGCGACUUUCUGGUCUGUAACUGACGCUGAGGCGCGAAAGCGUGGGGAGCAAACAGGAUUAGAUACCCUGGUAGUCCACGCCGUAAACGAUGAGUGCUAAGUGUUAGAGGGUUUCCGCCCUUUAGUGCUGCAGCAAACGCA
RNAcentral lists this ribosomal RNA (859 nucleotides) under uncultured Bacillus sp. RNAcentral's name for it is "bacterial SSU rRNA". It matches the Rfam family "Bacterial small subunit ribosomal RNA", at positions 17 to 859 of the family's 1533-position model. The record is from RNAcentral. Lineage: Bacteria; Bacillati; Bacillota; Bacilli; Caryophanales; Bacillaceae.